GAUGAAGGAACGUAGCGAAAUGCGAUAAGUAAUGUGAAUUGCAGAAUUCAGUGAAUCAUCGAAUCUUUGAACGCACAUUGCGCCCGCCAGUAUUCUGGCGGGCAUGCCUGUUCGAGCGUCAUUUCAACCCUCAAGCCCAGCUUGGUGUUGGGGAUCGGCACAGGCGCCCUCGGGCGCCCGCCGUCCCCUAAAUCUAGUGGCGGUCCCGCUGCAGCCUCCUCUGCGUAGUAGUUUUCUCCUCGCAAGGGCAGCUCGGUGGCGACCUCGCCGUAAAACCCCCAACUUCUGAAAGGUUGACCUCGAAUCAGGUAGGAAUACCCGCUGAACUUAAGCAUAUCAAUAAGCGGAGGA
RNAcentral lists this unclassified non-coding RNA (351 nucleotides) under soil metagenome. RNAcentral describes it as "partial contains 5.8S ribosomal RNA, internal transcribed spacer 2, and large subunit ribosomal RNA". The stretch from base 1 to 121 matches the Rfam family "5.8S ribosomal RNA", at positions 35 to 154 of the family's 154-position model. The record is from RNAcentral.